Molecule: ribosomal RNA, 685 nt
Filed under: bacterium BF-MAAP-BP10
Lineage: Bacteria
Also listed under: 1 other name
Description: bacterial SSU rRNA
Rfam family: Bacterial small subunit ribosomal RNA
Source: RNAcentral
GUCGAGCGCGAAAGUUCUUCGGAAUGAGUAAAGCGGCGGACGGGUGAGUAACGCGUGGGAAUCUGCCUGGUAGUGGGGGACAACAGUCGGAAACGACUGCUAAUACCGCAUACGCCCUACGGGGGAAAGGGGGGGAUCUUCGGACCUCUCGCUAUCAGAUGAGCCCGCGUCGGAUUAGCUUGUUGGUGAGGUAAAGGCUCACCAAGGCGACGAUCCGUAACUGGUCUGAGAGGAUGAUCAGUCACACUGGAACUGAGACACGGUCCAGACUCCUACGGGAGGCAGCAGUGGGGAAUAUUGGACAAUGGGGGCAACCCUGAUCCAGCCAUGCCGCGUGUGUGAAGAAGGCCUUCGGGUUGUAAAGCACUUUCAGUGGGGAGAAAGGUGGUUUGGUUAAUAACCGAAUCAAUUGAUGUUACCCACAGAAGAAGCACCGGCUAACUCCGUGCCAGCAGCCGCGGUAAUACGGAGGGUGCAAGCGUUAAUCGGAAUUACUGGGCGUAAAGCGUACGUAGGUGGUUUGUUAAGCCAGCUGUGAAAUCCCCGGGCUCAACCUGGGCACUGCAGUUGGAACUGGCAAGCUAGAGUAGGGUAGAGGGGUGUGGAAUUCCAGGUGUAGCGGUGAAAUGCGUAGAUAUCUGGAGGAACAUCAGUGGCGAAGGCGACACCCUGGACUCAUACUGAC